AUUGAACGCUGGCGGAAUGCUUUACACAUGCAAGUCGAACGGCAGCACGGACUUCGGUCUGGUGGCGAGUGGCGAACGGGUGAGUAAUGUAUCGGAACGUGCCCAGUCGUGGGGGAUAACGUAGUGAGAAUUACGCUAAUACCGCAUACGAUCUAUGGAUGAAAGCGGGGGAUCGCAAGACCUCGCGCGAUUGGAGCGGCCGAUAUCAGAUUAGGUAGUUGGUGGGGUAAAGGCCCACCAAGCCAACGAUCUGUAGCUGGUCUGAGAGGACGACCAGCCAGACUGGAACUGAUACACGGUCCAGACUCCUACGGGAGGCAGCAGUGGGGAAUUUUGGACAAUGGGCGAAAGCCUGAUCCAGCCAUUCCGGGUGCAGGAUGAAGGCCCUCGGGUUGUAAACUGCUUUUGUACAGAACGAAAAGGUUUCUACUAAUACUAGGAGCUCAUGACGGUACUGUAAGAAUAAGCACCGGCUAACUACGUGCCAGCCGCCGCGGUAA
This 500-nucleotide ribosomal RNA is filed under the name uncultured bacterium. RNAcentral describes it as "partial 16S ribosomal RNA". It matches the Rfam family "Bacterial small subunit ribosomal RNA", at positions 30 to 523 of the family's 1533-position model. The record is from RNAcentral.